RNAcentral lists this ribosomal RNA (3006 nucleotides) under Anaerolineae bacterium. RNAcentral describes it as "23S ribosomal RNA". It matches the Rfam family "Bacterial large subunit ribosomal RNA". The record is from RNAcentral. Lineage: Bacteria; Bacillati; Chloroflexota; Anaerolineae.
UGUGUUCAAGCUACUAAGGGCAUACGGUGGAUGCCUUGGCGCCAAGAGCCGAUGAAGGACGUGGCACACUGCGAUAAGCUUCAGGUAGCCGUGUGCAGGCUUUGACCUGGAGGUUUCCGAAUGGGGUAACCCACCCGGGGGAAUGCCCGGGUACCCGUAGGUGAAUACAUAGCCUACGUGGAGGGAACCAGGGGAACUGAAACAUCUAAGUACCCUGAGGAAAGAAGAUCAUUCCCCGAGUAGUGGCGAGCGAAAGGGGAGAAGCCCAAACCCAUGCUGUGCUCAAGCCUGCGGGCGUUGCAGUAUGGGGGUUGACAGGCUCAGCUGAAGCCUCCGCAGAGGCUUCAAGGAGUUACAAAACCAAACGGUAGUGGAACGGCACUGGAAAGGCCGGCCAUAGAGGGUGAUAGCCCCGUACAGGACCCGUGCGGUCUCCUGCUGAUGUCCUUGAGUACCGCCGCGCACGCUAAUGCGGCGGGAAGCUGGGGAGCCCACUUCCCAAGGCUAAAUACUCUUGGCGACCGAUAGUGAACAAGUACCGUGAGGGAAAGGUGAAAAGAACCCCAGUGCGGGGAGUGAAAUAGAACCUGAAACCGUAUGCCUACAAGCGAUCGGAGGACUAUGGCCUGAGUGCUUGCACCCAGGCAAGGUCUGACGGUGUGCCUUUUGGAGAAUGAGCCGGCGAGUUACUCUUUGUGGCAAGGUUAAGGCAGUUACAGCCGAAGCCGUAGCGAAAGCGAGUCUGAAUAGGGCGUCGAGUCGCAAGGAGUAGACCCGAAACCAGGUGAGCUACCCAUGGCCAGACUGAAGCGAGAGUAACAUCUCGUGGAGGGUCGAACCCACUAACGUUGCAAAGUCAGGGGAUGAGCUGUGGGUAGAGGUGAAAUGCCAAACGAACUUGGAGAUAGCUGGUUCUCCCCGAAAUAGCUCUAGGGCUAGCCUCGAGCGUUCAGCGAUGGAGGUAGAGCACUGGAUUGGCCAGGGGGCGCAAGCUUACCGAACCAAACCAAACUCCGAAUGCCAUCGCUUCAUAGCUCGGGAGUUGGACUGCGUGAGAUGAGUUUCGUGGUCGAGAGGGAAACAGCCCAGACCACCGGCUAAGGCCCCUAAUUCCAGGCUAAGUGGUAAAGGAUGUGGGGUUACCCAGACAGCCAGGAGGUUGGCUUAGAAGCAGCCACCCUUUAAAGAGUGCGUAAUAGCUCACUGGUCAAGUGAUCCUGCGCCGAAAAUGUAACGGGGCUCAAGCCUGGAGCCGAAGCCGUGGGAUGACCUUUGGUCAUCAGUAGGGGAGCGUUCCGUUAGCUGUGAAGCUAGACUGUGAGGACUAGUGGAGCCAACGGAAGUGAGGAUGCCGGCAUGAGUAGCGUGAAACACGUGAGAACCGUGUUCGCCGUAAGCCUAAGGUUUCCGACGCAAGGUCAUUCCGCGUCGGGUUAGCCGGGCCUAAGCCGAGGACUAACGUCGUAGGCGAUGGACAACAGGUCAACAUUCCUGUGCCGCGUCGGGUCGUUUGACCAAUGGGGGGACGCGGGAGGGUAGACGAGCCUCUUAUCGGAUUGAGGUGCCAAGCUCGUAGGCAGUUGAAGGUGGUAGGGAAAUCCGCCGCCCGAUGCCAAGGAGUGAUGGCGGGCCCAUUAGGGCCACAAGUCGUUGAGCCCAUACCGCCGAGAAAAGCCUCUAGGGAGAUCCACGCGCCCGUACCGCAAUCCGACACCGGUAGGCGGGUAGAAUAUACCAAGGCGAUCGAGGAAACCCUCGUUAAGGAACUAGGCAAAAUGGUUCCGUAACUUCGGGAGAAGGAACGCCUUGCUGGGUGUAGCACUUUGCGUGCGAAGCCCCGCGAGGUCGCAGUGAACCGGCCCUAGCGACUGUUUAACAAAAUCACAGGUCUCUGCUAAAGCGAAAGCUGAAGUAUAGGGGCUGAAGCCUGCCCAGUGCUGGAAGGUUAAAGGGAGAGGUUAGGCCGGGCGAAAGCCUGGUCAAAGCUUUGAACUGAAGCCCCAGUGAACGGCGGCGGUAACUAUAACCGUCCUAAGGUAGCGAAAUUCCUUGUCGGGUAAGUUCCGACCCGCACGAAUGGCCUAACGACUGGGGCGCCGUCUCAACGAGGGACUCGGUGAAAUUGAAGUAGGCGUGAAGAUACGCCAAACCCGCAGCACGACAAAAAGACCCCGUGGAGCUUUACUGUAAUUUGGCAUUGACUUAGGGCUUUGUCUGUAGAGGAUAUGUGGGAGGCUAUGAAACCAGGGCGCUAGCCUUGGCGGAGCCGCCGGUGGAAUACCACACUGAUAAAGUCUUGAGUCUAACCUGCGACCGUUAUCCGGCGCGGAGACAGUGCCAGAUGGGCAGUUUGACUGGGGCGGUCGCCUCCUAAAAGGUAACGGAGGCGCCCAAAGGUUCCCUCAGGCUGAAUGGAAACCAGCCAUAGAGUGUAAAGGCACAAGGGAGCUUGACUGCGAGGCCUACAAGCCGAGCAGACACGAAAGUGGGGCUUAGUGAUCCUACGGCUCUGUGUGGAAAGGCCGUGGCUUAUCGGACAAAAGUUACCCCGGGGAUAACAGGCUGGUGACGCCCAAGAGUUCACAUCGACGGCGUCGCUCGGCACCUCGAUGUCGGCUCGUCGCAUCCUGGGGCUGGAGCAAGUCCCAAGGGUCGGGCUGUUCGCCCGUUAAAGUGGUACGCGAGCUGGGUUCAGACCGUCGUGAGACAGGUCGGUCUCUAUCGGCUGUGGGCGUAGGGGAAUUGAGGAGAGCUGCUCCUAGUACGAGAGGACCGGAGUGGACUGACCUCUGGUGUGCCAGUUGUCGCGCCAGCGGCAUCGCUGGGUAGCUACGUCGGGCAGGGAUAACCGCUGAAUGCAUCUAAGUGGGAAACCCGCUCCAAGAUUAGUUCCCCCACCAGGAUAACUGGGUAAGGCCGCAGGAAGACUACCUGCUUGAUAGGCGGCGUGUGUAAGCACAGCAAUGUGUUGAGCUAAGCCGUACUAAUGGCCGAGGGCUUGAACAU